AUUGAACGCUGGCGGCAGGCCUAACACAUGCAAGUCGAGCGGAUGAACGGAGCUUGCUCCUGGAUUCAGCGGCGGACGGGUGAGUAAUGCCUAGGAAUCUGCCUGGCAGUGGGGGAUAACGUCCGGAAACGGGCGCUAAUACCGCAUACGUCCUGAUGGUGAACGUGGGGGAUCUUCGGACCUCACGCUAUCAGAUGAGCCUAGGUCGGAUUAGCUAGUUGGUGGGGUAAAGGCCUACCAAGGCGACGAUCCGUAACUGGUCUGAGAGGAUGAUCAGUCACACUGGAACUGAGACACGGUCCAGACUCCUACGGGAGGCAGCAGUGGGGAAUAUUGGGCAAUGGGCGAAAGCCUGAUCCAGCCAUGCCGCGUGUGUGAAGAAGGUCUUCGGAUUGUAAAGCACUUUAAGUUGGGAGGAAGGGCAGUAAGUUAAUACCUUGCUGUUUUGACGUUACCAACAGAAUAAGCACCGGCUAACUACGUG
This 484-nucleotide ribosomal RNA is filed under the name uncultured bacterium. Its description in RNAcentral is "partial 16S ribosomal RNA". It matches the Rfam family "Bacterial small subunit ribosomal RNA", at positions 30 to 507 of the family's 1533-position model. The record is from RNAcentral.